ACAGAGUUGGCAGAACUGUUUGAAAAUGCUGUGCAAGCGGUCUUCUCUGUCUUCUUUAUGGCCAGUAAAAUUCUCCAGAAGAGAUUUAUGGCAGCCUCACUCCCAGUAGUUUCUGCAUUUAGUGAGAUAAGGAAUGGAUUUUCUUCUGUGUAUUGCUGACACGAACAGGAGACGGAAAUACUGAGUAGAAGAGGGCGGUUCCCUGGCUAAGGCCCCACCCUCAAGCCUGGAUACCCGCGGCCCUAAAUGAGAAGAGGCGUUUCUGUUUGGGGCCCAAAAAGUUGCUUUUUGACCCACCACGCCCCCUAUCCUGCCCCCAUAUAAACCCCAAACCCCAACCUCCAGAGCAUACCAGCAGGUGAGGAGAUACGAGGCAAGCCGACUGACGGCAAAACGACGUAGCAGAGAAAGAGAGAAGAGGAGGGACGUCUGGACACCGAGAGAUGUUUGGCUCGGGGCAGUCAGAGCGGAGUCCAGCCCCUGGGCGGCCCAACUCCAGGGGAAGAUCACCUUCCCACUUCAUCCAUCCCCACCCUUCCAGCUCCCCAUCCAUCCUGCUGAAAGCCAUUUCCACCACUCAAUAAAACCUCGCAUUCAUCCUUCAAGUCCGUGUGUGACCCGAUUUUUCCUGGAUUCUGGAAAAGAGCUCGGAAUACAGAAAGCUGUCCCCUGGUCCUUUGCCCUUGUGAAAAAGCAGAAGGUCCAUUGAGCUGGUUAACACUCCAGCUGUCUGUGGUGGCCAAGCUGAAAGAGCUUUGUAACACUGGGGUUGCAGGCACCCACCUCUAGACGCUACCGCAGAGCCAGAGCCCAAAGCCCUCACCCCGGCCUCUGCACUUGCCCAUCUGCGUGCUCCCCCUCUCGCAAGGGGUUUCUGCAGAGGGGGCUACUGAACAGAUGGAAUCUUGCUCUCUUGCUCAGACUGGAGUGCAGUGGCAUGACCUUGGCUCACUGCAACCUCACCUCUCGGGUUCAAGCGAUUCUGCCUCAGCCUCUCGAGUAGCUGGGACUACAGGUGGGAGACCUCCACAGAACCCUUCCAGCAAGCUGUCUUCUAAAGCAAACAAGAAAAGGAAAGUCUGAGCAGUUUUGAUUAGAUUUCCCAGAAGUCAAAGCAAGGAAAAAUGAAAAAGCUUCAUUUCUCACGUUCUUAAAAGAGAGCACAGAUGUUGCAUCAUCUGGUUAGAUACCCUGAGAAUAAAAUCUGGAUCCAGUGAGAGGAAAGAUUCUGGGUGCUCAUGAAAAAAGAAACAAAACAAAACUUGGGAGCCUCUUGAGAGUGUACAGCAUCAGCCCUUGCCAACUCUUGUUUAUAUGCAUUUAACUUUCAGUUAACCAUGGGAAUAAUUCAUGAAAAUCCAAUCUACAAACAAAGGCCAUCCUAACGUUCAUGUUAUUCUUUUCCCUAAGAAUCUUUCACAAGAGCUAUAAUCAAGUAGAAUUAUGCUUUGAUUUGAAUUCUAAUUCAAUUGAAAAUAAAAAAUGAGGGCCGGACGCGGUGGCUCAUGCCUGUAAUCCCAGCGCUUUGGGAGGCUGAGGUGGACGGAUCACGAGGUCAGGAGAUCGAGACCAUCCUGGCUAACACGGUGAAACCCGAUCCCUACUAAAAAUACAAAAAAUUAGCCGGGCGUGGUGGCAGG
RNAcentral lists this long non-coding RNA (1640 nucleotides) under Homo sapiens (human). Its description in RNAcentral is "non-protein coding LINC01184:24". The record is from RNAcentral. Lineage: Eukaryota; Metazoa; Chordata; Mammalia; Primates; Hominidae.